GUUUUUGAGCACUAUCUGGGAGAUGA
Molecule: non-coding RNA, 26 nt
Filed under: Cricetulus griseus (Chinese hamster)
Lineage: Eukaryota; Metazoa; Chordata; Mammalia; Rodentia; Cricetidae
Source: RNAcentral